This 522-nucleotide unclassified non-coding RNA is filed under the name Hevea brasiliensis (rubber tree). The record is from RNAcentral. Lineage: Eukaryota; Viridiplantae; Streptophyta; Magnoliopsida; Malpighiales; Euphorbiaceae.
GCUUGUGGUUGAUUUUCAACCAAAAUUUUUGGUACUGGUUUUUCACAUGGUGGCGUGUGUAGGCGGUUUUAUCUUCAUCAAGAAUUUAUCGGACUGGGUUCUUUUCAUCCUUGAAAAGUUCAUCUGGGCAUUUAACAAGUACUCGUGCGGGGGUGCAUGAGAACGUUUUGGAAAUUGUUGGAUGUUGGAAUUUGGAUGCAUGACCCUACACGGUAUGCGACGGAAAAAAGAUUGGACAUAUUCUCCCAAAAGAAAUCCAUAAAAAGGCAGAUGUAAAAAAUAUCAAUAAAAAUUCCAGAGCAACCAUUUAGAAGCCACAAUCUGUUGAUUGUCCAAUUUGUCAAAUUCUUAGAAUGGUUAAAAGAACGCUUGCCGCCCCCUGUAGCGCCUUGUCGUGUGCCAUGCCCUAUCCUCUACACGAGUCAAGGGUUUGUGACACAAUAUUGGUCUUACUCGUUUUACGCGGGAAAGUAUUGAAAAGGGGAUGGAGUAUCCAGAUUUUUAAUUAUAAUACGAUAUUCG